UCUUCCGUAGUAUAGUGGUCAGUAUGCCAGCUUGUCACGCUUGAGACCCGGGUUUAAUUCUCGGUGGGAGAG
Non-coding RNA from Fusarium oxysporum f. sp. cubense, 72 nucleotides. The record is from Rfam. Lineage: Eukaryota; Fungi; Ascomycota; Sordariomycetes; Hypocreales; Nectriaceae.